RNAcentral lists this ribosomal RNA (460 nucleotides) under uncultured bacterium. RNAcentral's name for it is "partial 16S ribosomal RNA". It matches the Rfam family "Bacterial small subunit ribosomal RNA", at positions 338 to 795 of the family's 1533-position model. The record is from RNAcentral.
CCUACGGGUGUCAGCAGUGAGGAAUAUUGGUCCAUGGACGCGAGUCUUAACCAGCCCAGUAGCGUGAAGGAUGCCUGCCCUAUGGUUUGUAACCUUCUUUUAUAUGGGAAUAAAAUGUUCCCAGUGUGGGACUUUGUAUGUACCAUAUGAAUAAGUAUCGGCUAACUCCGUGCCAGCAGCCGCGGUCAUACGGAGGAUCCUAGCGUUAUCCGGCUUUAUUGGGUUUAAAGGGAGCGUAGUUGGAGUGUUAAGUUAGUUGUGAAAGGUUGAGGCGCAACCGUAAAAUUGCAGUUGAAACUGGCAGUCUUGAGUACAGUAGAGGUUGGCGGAAUUAGUGGUGUAGCGGUGAAAUGCUUAGAUAUCACGAAGAACUCCGAUUGCGAAGGCAGUUCACUGGACUGCAACUGACGCUGAGGCUCGAAAGUGUGGGUAUCAAACAGGAUUAGAUACCCCUGUAGUC